AAGUUUUUACUUUGUUUUGAAGAUUUUUGAGUUUUAAGCAAGUUUUGGAGCUUUGAGGUUCAAGAACCCAAAAAUCUCCCACCUCCGAGUUUAGGACGUCUCUCUCUCGAUCUUCAAGAGGUAAGAGCCGAUCUUAAGCUCAUUUCAUGUUUAAAGUAAGUUUUAUGCAAGAUCCAUGGGGUAGAAUGCAUGUUUAGCUCAUGGUUAGGUUUAUGGGUUUUAUUUGUGUUUUUGGACAAUGUGAG
Molecule: long non-coding RNA, 245 nt
Filed under: Manihot esculenta (cassava)
Lineage: Eukaryota; Viridiplantae; Streptophyta; Magnoliopsida; Malpighiales; Euphorbiaceae
Description: long non-coding RNA (MESC_LNC012447)
Source: RNAcentral